UGCAGUCGAGGGGCGCAGGACUGUAGCAUACAGUUGCUGGCGACCGGCAAACGGGUGCGGAACACGUACGCAAUCUACCCAAAACUGAUGAAUAGCCCUCCGAAAGGAGGAUUAAUACAUCGUAACAUAUUAGAGUGGCAUCACUUUAUUAUUAUAGCUCCGGCGGUUUUGGAUGAGCGUGCGCCUGAUUAGGUAGUUGGCGGGGUAACGGCCCACCAAGCCUGCGAUCAGUAACUGGUGUGAGAGCACGACCAGUCACACGGGCACUGAGACACGGGCCCGACUCCUACGGGAGGCAGCAGUAAGGAAUAUUGGUCAAUGGACGCAAGUCUGAACCAGCCAUGCCGCGUGAAGGAUGAAGGUCCUCUGGAUUGUAAACUUCUUUUAUAUGGGACGAAACCCCCGAAUUCUUUCGGGAUUGACGGUACCAUAAGAAUAAGCACCGGCUAACUCCGUGCCAGCAGCCGCGGUAAUACGGAGGGUGCAAGCGUUAUCCGGAUUCACUGGGUUUAAAGGGUGCGUAGGAGGGCAGGUAAGUCAGUGGUGAAAUCUCCGAGCUUAACUUGGAAACUGCCGUUGAUACUAUCUGUCUUGAAUAUUGUGGAGGUGAGCGGAAUAUGUCAUGUAGCGGUGAAAUGCUUAGAUAUGACAUAGAACACCAAUUGCGAAGGCAGCUCGCUACACAUAUAUUGACUCUGAGGCACGAAAGCGUGGGGAUCAAACAGGAUUAGAUACCCUGGUAGUCCACGCCCUAAACGAAGGAUACUCGACAUACG
This 776-nucleotide ribosomal RNA is filed under the name uncultured bacterium. RNAcentral describes it as "bacterial SSU rRNA". It matches the Rfam family "Bacterial small subunit ribosomal RNA", at positions 56 to 826 of the family's 1533-position model. The record is from RNAcentral.